This 287-nucleotide unclassified non-coding RNA is filed under the name Hevea brasiliensis (rubber tree). Lineage: Eukaryota; Viridiplantae; Streptophyta; Magnoliopsida; Malpighiales; Euphorbiaceae. The record is from RNAcentral.
CUCACGGGCUCAUUAUAUGCUCAAUUCAAGAUCUAUUGUACUCUACAAUAAUAUAAUCCUAACAUAUGCACUCGUAUACAGUACCACCAAGCAGUCAAGUACCAACCAAAACUACAGAUGAUGCUUUUGUAGAAGCUUCUCCCUACUUCUCCUAUGUUUGCUUCCAUGACUCCAAUCAUUCUUCUUCUUCUUUUUCUUGCAACUUUUUUUGCUCACCCAUUUUCUUUCCUUGCCCAACCAGUAAAUCCCACCUCCAGAAUCAGUGUUGUUGGUGUUGUUUAUUGUGA